GGGAAUAUAAUUUUAAUUGGAAAAAUAUUAGUUUUGCGUUCUAAAGUUAUUGGUUCAAGCCCAAUUAUUUCCA
RNAcentral lists this transfer RNA (73 nucleotides) under Ceramothamnion japonicum. Its description in RNAcentral is "Ceramium japonicum tRNA-Ala". It matches the Rfam family "tRNA". Rfam says of the family: Transfer RNA (tRNA) molecules are approximately 80 nucleotides in length. Their secondary structure includes four short double-helical elements and three loops (D, anti-codon, and T loops). The record is from RNAcentral. Lineage: Eukaryota; Rhodophyta; Florideophyceae; Ceramiales; Ceramiaceae.